GUGUCAGCAGCCGCGGUAAUACAGAGGGUGCGAGCGUUAAUCGGAAUUACUGGGCGUAAAGCGCACGUAGGUGGCGACGUAAGUCGGGUGUGAAAGCCCCGGGCUCAACCUGGGAAUUGCAUUCGAGACUGCAUUGCUGGAGUACGGAAGAGGAGGGCGGAAUUCCCGGUGUAGCGGUGAAAUGCGUAGAUAUCGGGAGGAACAUCAGUGGCGAAGGCGGCCCUCUGGUCCAGUACUGACACUCAAGUGCGAAAGCGUGGGGAGCAAACAGGAUUAGAAACCCCCGUAGUCC
This 292-nucleotide ribosomal RNA is filed under the name uncultured bacterium. RNAcentral's name for it is "partial 16S ribosomal RNA". It matches the Rfam family "Bacterial small subunit ribosomal RNA", at positions 505 to 796 of the family's 1533-position model. The record is from RNAcentral.